Long non-coding RNA from Passer domesticus (house sparrow), 420 nucleotides. RefSeq lists it as uncharacterized. The transcript has 5 exons. The record is from RefSeq and is a predicted model, not a curated record. NCBI's taxonomy places the organism in Eukaryota, Metazoa, Chordata, Aves, Passeriformes, Passeridae.
GUAGUCACAGCUGCAGCCAUUGACAUCUGGUUACCGCCCCGUGGAAAAAGGGGAUGGAGCGCUCGCCUCUCCCUCCAGGCUCUCAAACGCUGAACUUUAAUGAUAUUAACUGAAAAUAGAAGGUGGAUUAGCAAGACUGACAGGUCAACAAGGAGGAGUUACCAGGAUUUCCAGAUAACAGACCUUCAUUAUCAAUAAGCCAGCAUUUCAAAAUUUAGUGUAUAAAGGGAAUACCAAGGAAUGAUGUAAUCUAAAGGACUCAAUUGUGUAAAUCAGUGUUCUCUUCAACUGUAUUUUCUGUAGAGGAGAUAAAUGAGACUGAAGAUUUAUCCUGCAGAGAUAAGCAAUAACAGGAGCUGGAAUUCUUGGACGAUAGUGGGAAAGAAAAGACCAACAAAGUGAAAGAGAACUGCCAGGAUG